CCUUCUCUCUCAGGUGAGUUCUUGUUCUUCUUUUUGAGUUUUCUUUUUGUUUUUUCUCUGCUUUCUCAAUUAUGCAUGUAUUUUGAUCUUGUUUAAAUCAAAAUUUUAGGGUCUGUUUUUCAUCGAGUUAUUCUCUAUGCUUGCAUCUGUUAGCUAGGGCUUCAGAUAUUUUGUGGAAGUUAGGUAUCGCUCCAAUUCUAUGUUAUAUAUUUCGUACUGCAGAUAUUUACUAAUAAUCGGGAAACUGUUGCGUUAAUUCUUAACUGUACCAGCUUUUAAUAGAUUAUAAAUACAAUGGGUUUUAAUCUUUCAAGCAGAAGCUUCAGUUAGAACUUUUCGACAAGGAGAAGAGUAAUAUUGGACAGGGGUGUAUUGAAAGAGCUCAACCUGGGCGUUUUAAUGAAGAAAGAUGAUAAAAUGGAGCACCUAACAAUGCAUUUUCAUAGACCAAGAACUACGAGAUCGAUGGUCAGUUAUUCAGGGAUUUCACAGAGAACUUGGUAAAUGCAUGUCUCCAUCCAUGUUUGGUAGAAGUAUUCAGGUUUAUUUCAUCAUAUUUCCUCUUUAAGACUGCAAGAUGCUUUAAUUGUGUGCAAAUGAUCUCACAUGUAUAAUGGUAUACAUAUUUUCUGGGAGGAACAUUUGCAGGUAAAAGAAGACCUGACAACUAGCUUCUUUUUGACUUCUACUUGCAUGCUUCAAUGGGCACUACAUGAAAGAUAGAACAAAAUUAGAGCAACUAGACAACUACUACAGGCUCACUUAUGUCAGCAAAUUAGAUGG
Lycium ferocissimum is the source of this 783-nucleotide long non-coding RNA. RefSeq lists it as uncharacterized. The transcript has 6 exons. NCBI's taxonomy places the organism in Eukaryota, Viridiplantae, Streptophyta, Magnoliopsida, Solanales, Solanaceae. The record is from RefSeq and is a predicted model, not a curated record.